RNAcentral lists this non-coding RNA (23 nucleotides) under Arabidopsis thaliana (thale cress). Lineage: Eukaryota; Viridiplantae; Streptophyta; Magnoliopsida; Brassicales; Brassicaceae. The record is from RNAcentral.
CACAUGCCAAGUUUGGCCUCACA